Molecule: ribosomal RNA, 578 nt
Filed under: uncultured bacterium
Lineage: Bacteria
Description: bacterial SSU rRNA
Rfam family: Bacterial small subunit ribosomal RNA
Source: RNAcentral
ACGGGUGAGUAACACGUGGGUGAUCUGCCCUGCACUUCGGGAUAAGCCUGGGAAACUGGGUCUAAUACCGGAUAUGACCUCCUAUCGCAUGGUGGGUGGUGGAAAGAUUUAUCGGUGCAGGAUGGGCCCGCGGCCUAUCAGCUUGUUGGUGGGGUAAUGGCCUACCAAGGCGACGACGGGUAGCCGACCUGAGAGGGUGACCGGCCACACUGGGACUGAGACACGGCCCAGACUCCUACGGGAGGCAGCAGUGGGGAAUAUUGCACAAUGGGCGAAAGCCUGAUGCAGCGACGCCGCGUGAGGGACGACGGCCUUCGGGUUGUAAACCUCUUUCAGCAGGGACGAAGCGCAAGUGACGGUACCUGCAGAAGAAGCACCGGCUAACUACGUGCCAGCGGCCGCGGUAAUACGUAGGGUGCAAGCGUUGUCCGGAAUUACUGGGCGUAAAGAGUUCGUAGGCGGUUUGUCACGUCGUUUGUGAAAACUCACAGCUCAACUGUGAGCCUGCAGGCGAUACGGGCAGACUUGAGUACUGCAGGGGAGACUGGAAUUCCUGGUGUAGCGGUGAAAUGCGCAGA